This 537-nucleotide ribosomal RNA is filed under the name uncultured bacterium. Its description in RNAcentral is "bacterial SSU rRNA". It matches the Rfam family "Bacterial small subunit ribosomal RNA", at positions 974 to 1509 of the family's 1533-position model. The record is from RNAcentral.
CCUGGCCUUGACAUACUAAGAACUUUCCAGAGAUGGAUUGGUGCCUUCGGGAACUUAGAUACAGGUGCUGCAUGGCUGUCGUCAGCUCGUGUCGUGAGAUGUUCGGGUUAAGUCCCGCAACGAGCGCAACCCUUUUCCUUAUUUGCCAGCGGGUUAAGCCGGGAACUUUAAGGAUACUGCCAGUGACAAACUGGAGGAAGGCGGGGACGACGUCAAGUCAUCAUGGCCCUUACGGCCAGGGCUACACACGUGCUACAAUGGUCGGUACAAAGGGUUGCUACCUCGCGAGAGGAUGCUAAUCUCAAAAAGCCGAUCGUAGUCCGGAUCGCAGUCUGCAACUCGACUGCGUGAAGUCGGAAUCGCUAGUAAUCGCGGAUCAGAAUGCCGCGGUGAAUACGUUCCCGGGCCUUGUACACACCGCCCGUCACACCAUGGGAGUUUGUUGCACCAGAAGUAGGUAGUCUAACCGCAAGGAGGACGCUUACCACGGUGUGGCCGAUGACUGGGGUGAAGUCGUAACAAGGUAAGCGUAGAUGA